UAUUGGACAAUGGGCGCAAGCCUGAUCCAGCAAUGCCGCGUGUGUGAAGAAGGCCUGCGGGUUGUAAAGCACUUUAAGCAGGGAGGAAGGCUCUAAGGCGAAUACCCUUGGAGAUUGACGUUACCUGCAGAAUAAGCACCGGCUAACUCCGUGCCAGCAGCCGCGGUAAUACGGAGGGUGCGAGCGUUAAUCGGAAUUACUGGGCGUAAAGCGCGCGUAGGCGGUUGACUAAGUUUGCUGUGAAAGCCCCGGGCUUAACCUGGGAACUGCAGUGAAUACUGGUGGGCUAGAGUAUGGUAGAGGGUAGUGGAAUUUCCGGUGUAGCAGUGAAAUGCGUAGAGAUCGGAAGGAACACCAGUGGCGAAGGCGGCUAUCUGGACCAAUACGACGCCGAGUCGAAA
Molecule: ribosomal RNA, 401 nt
Filed under: uncultured bacterium
Lineage: Bacteria
Description: bacterial SSU rRNA
Rfam family: Bacterial small subunit ribosomal RNA
Source: RNAcentral